Aethina tumida (small hive beetle) is the source of this 552-nucleotide long non-coding RNA. RefSeq lists it as uncharacterized. The transcript is spliced from 3 exons. The record is from RefSeq and is a predicted model, not a curated record. Lineage: Eukaryota; Metazoa; Arthropoda; Insecta; Coleoptera; Nitidulidae.
UGUUAAGCAAGUAACGAGAUAUUUUAUGCCUGGCUUUAAAUCUUCUAUUUAUUACCUCCAUAUUGACAACUGACAUAGUUUUUUUAUUAUUUCAAUGAACAAACCUCAAAUGAAACUUUAUUGAAAAAUUUUAAAAAUUUCAGAGUAAAUAAAUACGCACAUGUAAACAUGAUAAUUAAUAAUUAUACAAAUAAUUAUUAGGAAUAUCCAUUGACGUUAUAUAUUUUUUUAUUAACAUGAGGCAAGAAAAUUAAGUUAUUAUUAAUGUCAUUGAAGAUUCAUAUAAAUAAAAUUAUCGCAACAUCAUAAACAACAGUGUAUUAUUUAUUAUUCAAAGCAAUGGAAUCAUUAAUUAAAUUAUUGGUCUUUCUUGCUGUUAUGGUAUCGAUAGUACUUUCAAAACCUACACCAGAACCAGGAUUUGUAGCUGCAUGGGGAUGGCCUUGGGGGUACGGAUUUUAUGGUUAUCCAUAUUACCCUAGUUUUUCCGCAGGAAUAAGGGUGGUAAUUUAAUAAUAAAAUGUAAUUUAAAUAAAUGGUGUAUUGUUUAUA